GUGCCAGCAGCCGCGGUAAUACGUAGGGUGCGAGCGUUGUCCGGAAUUACUGGGCGUAAAGGGCUCGUAGGUGGUUUGUCGCGUCGUCUGUGAAAUUCCGGGGCUUAACUCCGGGCGUGCAGGCGAUACGGGCAUAACUUGAGUGCUGUAGGGGAGACUGGAAUUCCUGGUGUAGCGGUGGAAUGCGCAGAUAUCAGGAGGAACACCGAUGGCGAAGGCAGGUCUCUGGGCAGUAACUGACGCUGAGGAGCGAAAGCAUGGGUAGCGAACAGGAUUAGAUACCCUGGUAGUCCAUGCCGUAAACGGUGGGCGCUAGGUGUGAGUCCCUUCCACGGGGUUCGUGCCGUAGCUAACGCAUUAAGCGCCCCGCCUGGGGAGUACGGCCGCAAGGCUAAAACUCAAAGGAAUUGACGGGGGCCCGCACAAGCGGCGGAGCAUGUGGAUUAAUUCGAUGCAACGCGAAGAACCUUACCUGGGCUUGACAUACACCGGAUUGGGCUAGAGAUAGUCUUUCCCUUUGUGGCUGGUGUACAGGUGGUGCAUGGUUGUCGUCAGCUCGUGUCGUGAGAUGUUGGGUUAAGUCCCGCAACGAGCGCAACCCUUGUCUUAUGUUGCCAGCAUUUGGUUGGGGACUCAUGAGAGACUGCCGGGGUCAACUCGGAGGAAGGUGGGGAUGACGUCAAAUCAUCAUGCCCCUUAUGUCCAGGGCUUCACACAUGCUACAAUGGUCGGUACAACGCGCAGCGACACUGUGAGGUGGAGCGAAUCGCUGAAAGCCGGCCUUAGUUCGGAUUGGGGUCUGCAACUCGACCCCAUGAAGUCGGAGUCGCUAGUAAUCGCAGACCAGCAAUGCUGCGGUGAAUACGUUCCCGGGCCUUGUACACACCGCCCGUCACGUCAUGAAAGUUGGUAACACCCGAAGCCGGUGGCCCAAACUUGUUAGGGAGCCGUCGAAGGUGGGAUCGGCGAUUGGGACGAAGUCGUAACAAGGUA
RNAcentral lists this ribosomal RNA (993 nucleotides) under uncultured Corynebacterium sp. RNAcentral describes it as "bacterial SSU rRNA". It matches the Rfam family "Bacterial small subunit ribosomal RNA", at positions 505 to 1498 of the family's 1533-position model. The record is from RNAcentral. Lineage: Bacteria; Bacillati; Actinomycetota; Actinomycetes; Mycobacteriales; Corynebacteriaceae.